CGGAGCAAGGAGCAGCAAAGAAAACGUAGUCAAGACCAUUAAUGUCCUGCAGGAUGACAGGUGAGUGAUUCUUUUAUCUUUCGCAUAAUGACCACGAACAGUAACACACACGGUUUGCAAGCACGUGAUAACUUAAACAGCUUACAUAUAUCUGUAUAUACUUCACUGCACAAAUUAUUAAGCUGAAACUCAGUAUCCUUAUAGUUCGGUAAAUUUCUGGAACAAGCGGAAAUAUUAAAAAUUCAAAAGUUAUAAAUCAGUUUAGUUCCGCUCGAGAAACACCUACGGUCAGCUGAUCGAAGCAGCACUUAAAAAAAAAGAACUGGCGAAAGUUUAUGCGGAGUUUUAAUGCAGAAAUAUUGUUGUCACGCUGUUUACAACGAUUUUUGCUGCACGCUGUCACCGAAGUGUGUGUUAAGUUUCAUUUAGUCUUUGUGUCUGUAUAAACUUAUCGAAGAGAGAGACAUAUAGGCGCUCAAACAAGAUCCCGUUUAUCUUGGAAUAAUCUGCUGCCAACCGACAGUGCAGUGCUACUCAAAUUGCAUUUACGGUUGGAGCUAUUAAUUGCAGCAAUUGAUCACCUGCCACAGCUUAAUAAUAGUUUUCGUGAGUCACGCUAUAAUUCCCGUUUUGUUUGUAUAUAAAUUAUCGAUAAUCGCAAGUAUCCGAAAAAACUCAUUGACGUCACAAUGUGCAUUUGAUUACUUAUACGAAAAGAUACAUUAACGCUUUUUUCCUUUCGAAAGCAAUUUUUUUGAGAGGACGGAACUUUCCGAAACUAUAACGCUUUUCAUCCUUUUAUGCCUCUCUCCUUACAUGGUUGAGAUGUAGAAAAAGAAACUUGUCCGAUGAUAGAUGUGUUAUUCAUUUUUCUACUGUUUUUCCACGCGUGCAACCGUCUUCGCCAUAUAUAUAUAUUUUUUCUUUUACUGCCACUUUUUGGUGUGUGAUUUGAUGACUUAGCGACAAUCAAUUACUACAUCAGGCGCCAUGAUGACCAACUUUGAUUCCUCUCGCUUUAUGCUUUCCUAAUUUCUGAUUUUUGUUCGAUUUUCCGCCGUCAUGUGAUUCUGUUUAAGAGACGAGAGUGAUGUUUUUCAUUUAUUUGGUCUUGCGAAAUUAUGAUCGCCGCCAUCAUUCUAAUAGAAUGUAUCAUGUAAAUGAAAAAGCUUUUCGGCUCACUAAUACUGCCAUAGGAAUAAUAAUAAUAACGAAAACUAAUGAUUUUAAUUUCUGCAAACUUAAAAAAUCCAUACAUUUAAAUUAUAAAAUAUUGCAUACAAUCAAAGAAAUUUCAAUACUCAUUAUAUUUAAAAUACCAUAAGCAUUCGCUAUCCAAUUGCGCCUUUACUUAAUUGCUUCUCAAGAUUUCAUAGGUGAAAAUGUGUAAGAAUCGUGUGUGCCGUUAUUUUUUUUUUUUUUUUUUUUAAAGAAUAUUAGCCAUCGACGAGCUUCUACAAUAAUUAAAUA
RNAcentral lists this long non-coding RNA (1470 nucleotides) under Androctonus crassicauda. The record is from RNAcentral. Lineage: Eukaryota; Metazoa; Arthropoda; Arachnida; Scorpiones; Buthidae.